This 85-nucleotide transfer RNA is filed under the name Bradyrhizobium elkanii. Its description in RNAcentral is "tRNA-Pro". It matches the Rfam family "tRNA". From Rfam's summary of the family: Transfer RNA (tRNA) molecules are approximately 80 nucleotides in length. Lineage: Bacteria; Pseudomonadati; Pseudomonadota; Alphaproteobacteria; Hyphomicrobiales; Nitrobacteraceae. RNAcentral also lists the same sequence under 1 other name. The record is from RNAcentral.
GGAGGGAUGGGUCGCGAGGGUUAGUCUCAGCUGUUCGACGCGGAAUGAUCGAAAAUCGUGGGUUUGACUCCCACUCUCUCCGCCA